This 459-nucleotide transfer RNA is filed under the name uncultured Flavobacteriaceae bacterium. Its description in RNAcentral is "16S-23S ribosomal RNA intergenic spacer". The stretch from base 78 to 151 matches the Rfam family "tRNA". The record is from RNAcentral. Lineage: Bacteria; Pseudomonadati; Bacteroidota; Flavobacteriia; Flavobacteriales; Flavobacteriaceae.
AGAGAAAGUAUGACGACUGAAUUUAGAAUUGUGGAGGUAUGCGUUUUGCUAAUUACUGUCAUUUUUAUUUAUCAUUGAGUCUCGUAGCUCAGCUGGUUAGAGCGCUACACUGAUAAUGUAGAGGUCGGCAGUUCGAGUCUGCCCGAGACUACAAUACGAUCUUGGGAAUUUAGAGUUGGGAAAUUCAUCCAUACUGAAUUCUUUUCAGAAUUGGGGAAUUAGCUCAGCUGGCUAGAGCACUUGAUUUGCAUUCAAGAGGUCGUGGGUUCGACUCCCACAUUCUCCACUAAAAGUUCAUUGACAUAUUGAAAAUUUUUAUACUACAAACAUCAGUUAUCCAAUUUAUGUUUGUAAUUAUAGAUACACUACAAAGUAUAAAUUACAUAUACAUACAAUUAUAUGUGGAUUUGUACGAGCAAAUAUUAUAAUAAAUACAAUUUCAAAGAAAAGUAAAGUUAC